Molecule: ribosomal RNA, 251 nt
Filed under: uncultured bacterium
Lineage: Bacteria
Description: partial 16S ribosomal RNA
Rfam family: Bacterial small subunit ribosomal RNA
Source: RNAcentral
CGGGUGAGUAACGCGUGGGUAACCUGCCUCAUACAGGGGGAUAACAGUUAGAAAUGACUGCUAAUACCGCAUAAGACCACAGUGCCGCAUGGCACAGGGGCCAAAGCCUUGACGGUAUGAGAUGGACCCGCGUCUGAUUAGCUUGUUGGCGGGGUAGAGGCCCACCAAGGCGACGAUCAGUAGCCGGCCUGAGAGGGUGGACGGCCACAUUGGGACUGAGACACGGCCCAAACUCCUACGGAAGGCAGCAG